GGCUCAUUGGUCUAACGGUUUAUGACGCUACCCUGUCACGGUAGAAGCAGGAGUUCAACUCUCCUAUGGGUCG
RNAcentral lists this transfer RNA (73 nucleotides) under Caudoviricetes sp. RNAcentral's name for it is "tRNA-Asp". It matches the Rfam family "tRNA". From Rfam's summary of the family: Transfer RNA (tRNA) molecules are approximately 80 nucleotides in length. Lineage: Duplodnaviria; Heunggongvirae; Uroviricota; Caudoviricetes. The record is from RNAcentral.